RNAcentral lists this ribosomal RNA (497 nucleotides) under uncultured bacterium. Its description in RNAcentral is "partial 16S ribosomal RNA". It matches the Rfam family "Bacterial small subunit ribosomal RNA", at positions 28 to 507 of the family's 1533-position model. The record is from RNAcentral.
GAUGAACGCUGGCGGCGUGCCUAAUACAUGCAAGUCGAGCGAACAGACGAGGGGCUUGCUCCUCUGACGUUAGCGGCGGACGGGUGAGUAACACGUGGAUAACCUACCUAUAAGACUGGGAUAACUUCGGGAAACCGGACCUAAUACCGGAUAAUAUAUUGAACCGCAUGGUUCAAUAGUGAAAGACGGUUUUGCUGUCACUUAUAGAUGGAUCCGCGCCGCAUUAGCUAGUUGGUAAGGUAACGGCUUACCAAGGCAACGAUGCGUAGCCGACCUGAGAGGGUGAUCGGCCACACUGGAACUGAGACACGGUCCAGACUCCUACGGGAGGCAGCAGUAGGGAAUCUUCCGCAAUGGGCGAAAGCCUGACGGAGCAACGCCGCGUGAGUGAUGAAGGUCUUCGGAUCGUAAAACUCUGUUAUUAGGGAAGAACAAAUGUGUAAGUAACUAUGCACGUCUUGACGGUACCUAAUCAGAAAGCCACGGCUAACUACGUG